Molecule: ribosomal RNA, 464 nt
Filed under: uncultured bacterium
Lineage: Bacteria
Description: partial 16S ribosomal RNA
Rfam family: Bacterial small subunit ribosomal RNA
Source: RNAcentral
CUACGGGUGGCUGCAGUGGGGAAUUUUGGACAAUGGGGGCAACCCUGAUCCAGCCAUUCCGCGUGAGUGAAGAAGGCCUUCGGGUUGUAAAGCUCUUUCGGCAGGAACGAAACGGUGGAGGCUAAUACCUUUCAUCAAUGACGGUACCUGAAGAAGAAGCACCGGCUAACUACGUGCCAGCAGCCGCGGUAAUACGUAGGGUGCGAGCGUUAAUCGGAAUUACUGGGCGUAAAGCGUGCGCAGGCGGUUCUAUAAGGCAGAUGUGAAAUCCCCGGGCUUAACCUGGGAACUGCGUUUGUGACUGUAGGACUCGAGUGUGGCAGAGGGGGGUGGAAUUCCACGUGUAGCAGUGAAAUGCGUAGAGAUGUGGAGGAACACCGAUGGCGAAGGCAGCCCCCUGGGUUAACACUGACGCUCAUGCACGAAAGCGUGGGGAGCAAACAGGAUUAGAUACCCCUGUAGUC